This 207-nucleotide unclassified non-coding RNA is filed under the name Hevea brasiliensis (rubber tree). Lineage: Eukaryota; Viridiplantae; Streptophyta; Magnoliopsida; Malpighiales; Euphorbiaceae. The record is from RNAcentral.
AGAACAACAGGAGCCCUGCUUCUGCAAUCAACAAAGCAAAUUGAAUGACUAGAAAUAUUCUUCUAUUAUAUAGACUACAUGCAUCAUUAGCAAAAGAAAUGCUAUUGUUUUCAACACUAACUUUUAAACAACCAGGACAUAAAAAUAACAUGCAAACUUACCAAAGUACUAAGUGCAAUGUAGCAAUCACCUUCAGCCAAAGGGUUA